This 443-nucleotide ribosomal RNA is filed under the name uncultured bacterium. RNAcentral describes it as "partial 16S ribosomal RNA". It matches the Rfam family "Bacterial small subunit ribosomal RNA", at positions 338 to 795 of the family's 1533-position model. The record is from RNAcentral.
CCUACGGGUGGCUGCAGUGGGGAAUAUUGGGCAAUGGGCGCAAGCCUGACCCAGCAACGCCGCGUGAAGGAAGAAGGCUUUCGGGUUGUAAACUUCUUUUCUGACGGGCGUAGCAAGUGACGGUACCUCAGGAAUACGCCACGGCUAACUACGUGCCAGCAGCCGGGGUCAAACGUGGGUGGCAAGCGUUCUCCGGAUUUAAUGGGUGUAAAGGGCGUGUAGGCGGGAAAGCAAGUCAGAUGUGAAAACCCAGGGCUUAACCCGGAGCCCGCAUUUGAAACUGGUUGUCUUGAGUGCUGAAGAGGCAAGCGGAAUUCGGGGUGUAGCGGUGAAAUGCGUAGAUAUACCGAGGAACACCAGUGGCGAAGGCAGAUUGCUGGAGAGCAACUGACGCUGAGGCGCGAAGGUGCGGGGAGCAAACAGGAUUAGAUACCCUAGUAGUC